CUCAGGGGGUUCGUUCGUGAGCAGUACGCCAUGGCGUGCGAGCUGCUCGGUCCGGAUUGUGAAAUAUUCCUGACGGGUGGGGAUGCCGAACUGGUUCGCGACGAACUGGCUGGCGCCCGGAUCAUGCCGGACCUGGUUUUCGUAGGGCUGGCACUGGCUUGCCCGAUUGAGUGAGAGGAUCUAUGCGCUGGUUCUUCCUGUUUCUCCUGGCCCUGAACGUCUUCUACUACGUCUGGCACCAGCAGCAAUCCCCGCUACGGGCCAAGGAAAUCGCACCGCUGGAACUCUAUAAGGAUGGGCAGAAGAACAUUCUGCUGUUGGCCGAGAGCAACCUUGCUUCCAGGGCGCGCUCGGGAUCGCAGGUGCCGGCGCCGAGUGUGCCUCCGGCUGCCGAAGAGUCGAUCGCAUCCGAGUCGGCCUGUCUCUAUCUUGGCGGAGGCGGUGAGGAGGCGGAUGCCCGAAGGUUGCAGCAGCGCCUGCUGGGCCUGGAUAUCGAGGCGGAGGUCGAGGCCCGUGGGGAGAUGAGCGUCGAUUACUGGGUCUAUCUUCCUCCGCUAGCCUCGCGGGAGGCUGCGCUUCGUCAGUUGAAGGAGCUUCAGGCGCGCAAUAUCGACAGCUACCUGAUUGGCGAGGGAGUGCUGGCCAAUGGCAUUUCUUUGGGGAUGUUUUCCGCGCGGGAUUCGGCUGAAAGUGCGCAGGCCCGUCUCAAGACGGCAGGUUACGAGGCGGAGCUGAAGGAAUUGCCCCGCGGGCAGCGUGAUUUCUGGGUAAGGGUGGCACCCGGCAGCCGGCGUCUGGUGGAUGAGCAACUGCUCCAGGAGCUGGCUCGGGACUUCAAGGGAUUGCAGCAUCAAAUAAUGUCGUGCAAAGGUGUUGCAUCCCCCUGAUGGUUUGCAUAGAAUGGCGCCCGCUUCGCAGGGGGAAGGCUGAAAGACUCCUACCAUGAAGUUGCUGUUGAAACCUAAGUUCAGGUUUUUUAAGAGAAAACUCUUGACAGCAAGGUGGCAGACGUAGAGAAUGCCGCCCACCAGUUUGGAGGGAUUCCCGAGUGGCCAAAGGGAUCAGACUGUAAAUCUGACGUCAUAGACUUCGAAGGUUCGAAUCCUUCUCCCUCCACCAGUUUAAAAGCGUGAGCUUCGGGCUCCGCGGGUAUAGUUCAGUGGUAGAACCUCAGCCUUCCAAGCUGAUGAUGCGGGUUCGAUUCCCGCUACCCGCUCCAGUCAAGUUGCUUGUGUUUCGCUCAUGUAGCUCAGUUGGUAGAGCACACCCUUGGUAAGGGUGAGGUCAGCGGUUCAAAUCCGCUCAUGAGCUCCAUUUAUCCAGGGGCAGAUAUGAAAAUAUCUGCCCUUGUUCUAAUGGUAGCGUGAUCCGCUCAAUUCCUUGAAGGGGAUGGUCUCCAUGGCUAAAGAAAAAAAUGAACGGAACAAGCCCACGCCGAAAGACCAAGGGUUCCUGCGCAACGUUAAUCGACGCAGGGUUAGUCGGUUCCUAAGGCGAGGCUGAAAAGCGUAGUCGAUGGGAAACAGGUUAAUAUUCCUGUACUUCUGGUUACUGCGAUGGAGGGACGGAGAAGGCUAGGCCAGCUUGGCGUUGGUUGUCCAAGUUUAAGGUGGUAGGCUGAAAUCUUAGGUAAAUCCGGGGUUUCAAGGCCGAGAGCUGAUGACGAGUCGUCUUUUAGAUGACGAAGUGGUUGAUGCCAUGCUUCCAAGAAAAGCUUCUAAGCUUCAGGUAAGCAGGAACCGUACCCCAAACCGACACAGGUGGUCGGGUAGAGAAUACCAAGGCGCUUGAGAGAACUCGGGUGAAGGAACUAGGCAAAAUGGCACCGUAACUUCGGGAGAAGGUGCGCCGGCUAGGGUGAAGGAUUUACUCCGUAAGCUCUGGCUGGUCGAAGAUACCAGGCCGCUGCGACUGUUUAUUAAAAACACAGCACUCUGCAAACACGAAAGUGGACGUAUAGGGUGUGACGCCUGCCCGGUGCCGGAAGGUUAAUUGAUGGGGUUAGCGCAAGCGAAGCUCUUGAUCGAAGCCCCGGUAAACGGCGGCCGUAACUAUAACGGUCCUAAGGUAGCGAAAUUCCUUGUCGGGUAAGUUCCGACCUGCACGAAUGGCGUAACGAUGGCGGCGCUGUCUCCACCCGAGACUCAGUGAAAUUGAAAUCGCUGUGAAGAUGCAGUGUAUCCGCGGCUAGACGGAAAGACCCCGUGAACCUUUACUGUAGCUUUGCACUGGACUUUGAGCCUGCUUGUGUAGGAUAGGUGGGAGGCUUUGAAGCGUGGACGCCAGUUCGCGUGGAGCCAUCCUUGAAAUACCACCCUGGCAUGCUUGAGGUUCUAACUCUGGUCCGUGAUCCGGAUCGAGGACAGUGUAUGGUGGGCAGUUUGACUGGGGCGGUCUCCUCCUAAAGAGUAACGGAGGAGUACGAAGGUGCGCUCAGACCGGUCGGAAAUCGGUCGCAGAGUAUAAAGGCAAAAGCGCGCUUGACUGCGAGACAGACACGUCGAGCAGGUACGAAAGUAGGUCUUAGUGAUCCGGUGGUUCUGUAUGGAAGGGCCAUCGCUCAACGGAUAAAAGGUACUCCGGGGAUAACAGGCUGAUACCGCCCAAGAGUUCAUAUCGACGGCGGUGUUUGGCACCUCGAUGUCGGCUCAUCACAUCCUGGGGCUGAAGCCGGUCCCAAGGGUAUGGCUGUUCGCCAUUUAAAGUGGUACGCGAGCUGGGUUUAGAACGUCGUGAGACAGUUCGGUCCCUAUCUGCCGUGGACGUUUGAGAUUUGAGAGGGGCUGCUCCUAGUACGAGAGGACCGGAGUGGACGAACCUCUGGUGUUCCGGUUGUCACGCCAGUGGCAUUGCCGGGUAGCUAUGUUCGGAAAAGAUAACCGCUGAAAGCAUCUAAGCGGGAAACUUGCCUCAAGAUGAGAUCUCACUGGGAACUUGAUUCCCCUGAAGGGCCGUCGAAGACUACGACGUUGAUAGGCUGGGUGUGUAAGCGUUGUGAGGCGUUGAGCUAACCAGUACUAAUUGCCCGUGAGGCUUGACCAU
RNAcentral lists this ribosomal RNA (3042 nucleotides) under Pseudomonas aeruginosa. Its description in RNAcentral is "bacterial LSU rRNA". The stretch from base 1219 to 3042 matches the Rfam family "Bacterial large subunit ribosomal RNA". Lineage: Bacteria; Pseudomonadati; Pseudomonadota; Gammaproteobacteria; Pseudomonadales; Pseudomonadaceae. The record is from RNAcentral.